RNAcentral lists this non-coding RNA (24 nucleotides) under Arabidopsis thaliana (thale cress). The record is from RNAcentral. Lineage: Eukaryota; Viridiplantae; Streptophyta; Magnoliopsida; Brassicales; Brassicaceae.
GCACGUACCACAGUUGAACCGUAC